GAUACCCUAUUAUUGAAAAUGUAAAUAUUUAAAUUAAUUAGUAUUUGUUAUGUUCAUAAAAAUUAAAGAAUUUGGCGGUAUUUUAGUCUAUUCAGAGGAACCUGUUCUAUAAAUGAUAGUCCACGAUUUAUAUUAUUUAUCUUAUUAGUUUGUAUAUCGCUGUAGUUGAAUAUUUUAUAAGAAUUUUAAUAUUCAUGAUUUUUGUUUAAAAAUAAAUCAAGUCAAGGUGUAGUUUAUAGAUAAAUAGUAAUGGGUUACAAUAAAUUUAUUUAUUAUGGAUUGUUUAAUUAAAUUUAAAUAUAAAAUUGGAUUUGAUAGUAAUUUUAAAUAAUUAUUUAGAAUGAUUAUAGCUCUAAAAUAU
Molecule: ribosomal RNA, 361 nt
Filed under: Bathysciola sbordonii
Lineage: Eukaryota; Metazoa; Arthropoda; Insecta; Coleoptera; Leiodidae
Description: partial 12S ribosomal RNA
Source: RNAcentral